RNAcentral lists this unclassified non-coding RNA (335 nucleotides) under soil metagenome. Its description in RNAcentral is "partial contains 5.8S ribosomal RNA, internal transcribed spacer 2, and large subunit ribosomal RNA". The stretch from base 1 to 120 matches the Rfam family "5.8S ribosomal RNA", at positions 35 to 154 of the family's 154-position model. The record is from RNAcentral.
GAUGAAGAACGCAGCGAAAUGCGAUAAGUAAUGUGAAUUGCAGAAUUCAGUGAAUCAUCGAAUCUUUGAACGCACAUUGCGCCCGCCAGUAUUCUGGCGGGCAUGCCUGUUCGAGCGUCAUUUCAACCAUCAAGCCCCAGGCUUGUGUUGGGGACCUGCGGCUGCCGCAGGCCCUGAAAACCAGUGGCGGGCUCGCUGUCACACCGGGCGUAGUAGAUUUUAUCUCGCUCAGGGCGUGCUGCGGGUUCCGGCCGUUAAAAAGCCUUUUUUACCCAAGGUUGACCUCGGAUCAGGUAGGAAGACCCGCUGAACUUAAGCAUAUCAAUAAGCGAGGA